CUUCUCAAUACCACAAAUCUCCCAUUAUAUAAUAAAUCCACUUCACACCGGACUCACUUGGUCAGUUUAACAGAGAAGAAAAUAUGUCCCUUGUACCGACUGGACGAAAACGGACACUUCACUCUUUACGACCACCGAUUCUGACUGGACUGAGCGGUCUUCAGCAUCCAGGCUCAGAAGUCAGUUGAAGGGUCCGCCGAUCAUGCUAUUGCCGAUUGUGCCGUCCCCAUUCACUGUCCAUCAAGCAACACAUCAUCUUGAAAAGUCCCUCAACUGGCCUUAAGAGUCUGUCGUCAUCUUCCCCUGCACAGUCUUUCUGGUCAUCUUCAUCCUCGUCAACCCAUUGGAUCAGUGCCUUUGAUGGAGAAAGGAUGUGCUCAGAUGGCUUUUUGGUAAUCCGUAGUGGACCCUUGAAUGGCCACCGCCUCUGAAGUAUCUUAGAAAGCCCCAAAUGGCUACUAUUUCUGGAGGACAGUGAAGGGCCCUCUGACCACUGCAUCACCGUGGCUAUCGCUGUCCAUGGUGCUGAAGUUAUUGCUGGUGCUGUGACACACACAGCUCUAGACUCACGGUUUAGCAUCCCGCAGUGCUUAUACCUAAUGCCGCAUUGAAUCCUUGGUGUGAAUAAGUUAGACUUAUAGACACAUCAGGAGUCUUUCAUUUUCUCUCUUUAGUGGAUGCAGGAUGCCUGUGUGAUCAAUGAUAAUCAUAGUGUGAAUAUGAAUCACAUUUUAAUUAAGUUCCCAUUGUGUGAGAUAGUCUAAAGCUUUUUUAUUGUGUGCUUUAAUAUACUGUAUCUAUGAGUUGUAAUUCUGUCUCUGAGUGUGACACACCUCUUCCUUGGCAAAGGACUGCAUAUUCAAAUGUGUGAAGAUUUCUGAGGUAUUUCUGCAUCAGACUAAUGAGACUGUUUAUAUUAUCCUGGCUCAUGAUUUAUUUGGUUUUGAAAUGCGUUUUCACUCUGUUGCCAUGAUAACCGUGCUUAUCAAAUAAACCAUUAGAACGAAAAUAUGCA
Long non-coding RNA from Sardina pilchardus (European sardine), 1015 nucleotides. RefSeq lists it as uncharacterized. The record is from RefSeq and is a predicted model, not a curated record. The transcript is spliced from 3 exons. Lineage: Eukaryota; Metazoa; Chordata; Actinopteri; Clupeiformes; Clupeidae.